GAGUCCUACGGGAGGCAGCAGUGAGGAAUAUUGGUCAAUGGACGAAAGUCUGAACCAGCCAUGCCGCGUGCAGGAAGACGGCUCUAUGAGUUGUAAACUGCUUUUGUACAAGGGUAAACCUGAAUACGUGUAUUCAGCUGAAAGUACUGUACGAAUAAGUAUCGGCUAACUCCGUGCCAGCAGCCGCGGUAAUACGGAGGAUCCAAGCGUUAUCCGGAUUUAUUGGGUUUAAAGGGUGCGUAGGCGGAUUGAUAAGUUAGAGGUGAAAUGUCCGGGCUCAACUCGCGAACUGCCUCUAAUACUGU
Molecule: ribosomal RNA, 305 nt
Filed under: uncultured bacterium
Lineage: Bacteria
Description: bacterial SSU rRNA
Rfam family: Bacterial small subunit ribosomal RNA
Source: RNAcentral